GCUGAACUUAAGCAUAUCAAUAAGCGGAGGAAAAGAAACUAACAAGGAUUCCCCUAGUAACUGCGAGUGAAGCGGGAAGAGCUCAAAUUUAAAAUCUGGCGGUUCUGCCGUCCGAGUUGUAAUCUGGAGAAGCGUUUUCUGUGCAGGACCGUACACAAGUUCCUUGGAAUAGGACGUCAUAGAGGGUGAGAAUCCCGUCUUUGGUAUGGACUCCCUGUGCUCUGUGAUACGCUCUCAAAGAGUCGAGUUGUUUGGGAAUGCAGCUCAAAAUGGGUGGUAAAUUCCAUCUAAAGCUAAAUAUAGGCGAGAGACCGAUAGCGAACAAGUACCGUGAGGGAAAGAUGAAAACGCACUUUGGAAAGAGAGUUAAACAGUACGUGAAAUUGUUGAAAGGGAAACGCUURAASUCASUCGCGUUGUCCAGGACUACAGCCUUGGUUCUCCUAGGUGUAUUYCCUGGUUGACGGGUCAMCAUCAAUUUUGACCAGUGGACAAAGGCUUGGGGAAGGUGSCACCCUCGGGUGUGUUAUAGCCCCUUGUUGUAUGCAUUGGUUGGGAUUGAGGACCGCAGCACGCCCUUGUGGCCGGGGUUCGCCCACGUAACGUGCUUAGGAUGUUGGCAAAAUGGCUUUAAGCGACCNGUCUUGAAACACGGACCAAGGAGUCUAACAUGCCUGCGAGUGUUAGGGUGGUAAACCCUUGCGCGAAAUGAAAGUGAAAGUUGGGACCUCCUCACAGAGGGCACCGACGCCCGGCCCUGAACUCUUGUGACGGUGCUGCGGUAGAGCAUGUAUGUUGGGACCCGAAAGAUGGUGAACUAUGCCUGAAUAGGGCGAAGCCAGAGGAAACUCUGGUGGAGGCUCGUAGCGAUUCUGACGUGCAAAUCGAUCGUCAAAUUUGGGUAUAGGGGCGAAAGACUAAUCGAACCAUCUAGUAGCUG
RNAcentral lists this ribosomal RNA (940 nucleotides) under Hyphoderma echinocystis. RNAcentral describes it as "eukaryotic LSU rRNA". It matches the Rfam family "Eukaryotic large subunit ribosomal RNA", at positions 27 to 953 of the family's 3401-position model. The record is from RNAcentral. Lineage: Eukaryota; Fungi; Basidiomycota; Agaricomycetes; Polyporales; Hyphodermataceae.